CAACGAUUAAUUGACAAGUGUCAUAAACAACCAAGCGCCAGUUAUUGUAGAAGGAACAAUCAAGACUAUAAACUGGGCGAGUCAACAUGCUGGCUUGUCUGCGACAAACAAACAUUUUGCAAGUGCUUUUCUCCUAACGUUAAAAAUAAAAACCUUGUAUACUUAGUCGAGUAUCUGAAUAAACAACUCUGUCUUCUGAAAGUUCAAAGAAGCUCAAAAGGUUUUGAUGAAACAAUGGUAAACCAUCAAUCAUGUCUCCUUGGAGAUAAAAGGUCUAAUUUGGAUGCUGGAGAAAAUUUGCCAUUGGUCGGAAGGGACAUAUAAUCGUGGUCAGGGUAUAAGCAGGGAGAGGCCACGUGCUAACUCUAUAAAUUUACAAAAAAUUUGCCUAUGUCAAAUACGUUCAAUAAGAAGGAAUGUUGUACUGCACCAAGUUGAUAAAGUUGACUUUAGGUUGAUCAGGACUAAA
Cimex lectularius (bed bug) is the source of this 469-nucleotide long non-coding RNA. RefSeq lists it as uncharacterized. The transcript has 3 exons. NCBI's taxonomy places the organism in Eukaryota, Metazoa, Arthropoda, Insecta, Hemiptera, Cimicidae. The record is from RefSeq and is a predicted model, not a curated record.